Molecule: long non-coding RNA, 343 nt
Filed under: Amborella trichopoda
Lineage: Eukaryota; Viridiplantae; Streptophyta; Magnoliopsida; Amborellales; Amborellaceae
Description: long non-coding RNA (ATRI_LNC001995)
Source: RNAcentral
GGUAAUUUUGACUUUAGGAGAGAGAAUGUAGAGUCCAAAACUAAAUAUAUUACUAUAGAUUACAUUAUUACAUUAUGAAUUACUCGGAUACAUUGCAAGUUUUUCAGUUAUAAAACUCUCCCAUUGAGCAAGUCAAGUCGAUUUCAGUGAUUUUAUCUUACUCAAAAACAGUUCUGAUUAUGGUUGAGACAACCUUGGUAGUAGGUCUGAAGUAGAAAACAUAUACAUAAUUUACACAUUUAGUUAAUGGGAAAAGAUGGGAUUAGUGUACUAGCUCAUAUGAACAUAUGAGCCCAAUGGCCCAGAUUGAAUCUGGGCUGAUUUGACGAUCGCGGAUGUCUGG